AAGGAUCAUUAGUGAAUUUGCAGGGCCUGCCAUACGGAUGCGCAAGCGUCUCUGGCGCCCAACCCACUAUACAUCCACAAACCCGUGUGCACUUGUGUUGCUUUGGCCUGUAUGGGCGAGCGCACGCAUUCAAACAAACUCGUAUGGUUGUAUGUACGUUGUAAACGUUGGACCGUCACUGGCCAACAAACUUUAUACAACUUUCGACAACGGAUCUCUUGGUUCUCCCAUCGAUGAAGAACGCAGCGAAACGCGAUAGGUAAUGUGAAUUGCAGAAUUCCGUGAAUCAUCGAAUCUUUGAACGCACCUUGCGCUCCAUGGUAUUCCGUGGAGCAUGCCUGUUUGAGUGCCGCGAAUUCUCCCACCCCAAACGGUUGCCGAAAGGUACUGUGCGGCGGAGGGGUUGGAUGGGUGCUGCUGCCUGUGGUGGGGAAACUACAACAGGCUCGCCCGAAAUGCAUUAGCGCCUCAGGACACAUUCGCUACUGCUCUACAAAAAGGAAGAGCAGCGAAGCGUAUGGGGGGAAAACCACCACCGGUUAUUCCAAACCUCGCCUGACUGUUUGCGCGCAUGGCAUGAUACGUCAUUUGCUGUGUUGCGUAGGUUGGUGCGUGGGACUGUGUGAGUGCCUCUAGAGCUUUGAGAAGUGUGUUUCGUGUGCUACGAACUGAAAAAGUACAUUCCUUUUUUUCAAUUCUGGUCUCAAAUCAGGUAGGAUCACCCGCUGAACUUAA
This 735-nucleotide unclassified non-coding RNA is filed under the name Malassezia pachydermatis. RNAcentral's name for it is "partial contains ITS1, 5.8S rRNA, ITS2". The stretch from base 199 to 352 matches the Rfam family "5.8S ribosomal RNA". Lineage: Eukaryota; Fungi; Basidiomycota; Malasseziomycetes; Malasseziales; Malasseziaceae. The record is from RNAcentral.